GAUGAAGAACGCAGCGAAAUGCGAUACGUAAUGUGAAUUGCAGAAUUCAGUGAAUCAUCGAGUCUUUGAACGCACAUUGCGCCCCCUGGUAUUCCGGGGGGCAUGCCUGUCCGAGCGUCAUUGCUGCCCUCAAGCACGGCUUGUGUGUUGGGCCCCGUCCUCCGAUCCCGGGGGACGGGCCCGAAAGGCAGCGGCGGCACCGCGUCCGGUCCUCGAGCGUAUGGGGCUUUGUCACCCGCUCUGUAGGCCCGGCCGGCGCUUGCCGAUCAACCCAAAUUUUUAUCCAGGUUGACCUCGGAUCAGGUAGGGAUACCCGCUGAACUUAAGCAUAUCAAUAGCGGAGGA
Molecule: unclassified non-coding RNA, 345 nt
Filed under: soil metagenome
Description: partial contains 5.8S ribosomal RNA, internal transcribed spacer 2, and large subunit ribosomal RNA
Rfam family: 5.8S ribosomal RNA (bases 1-120)
Source: RNAcentral